This 394-nucleotide ribosomal RNA is filed under the name uncultured bacterium. Its description in RNAcentral is "bacterial SSU rRNA". It matches the Rfam family "Bacterial small subunit ribosomal RNA", at positions 337 to 723 of the family's 1533-position model. The record is from RNAcentral.
UCCUACGGGGGGCAGCAGUAGGGAAUCUUCGGCAAUGGACGAAAGUCUGACCGAGCAACGCCGCGUGAGUGAAGAAGGUUUUCGGAUCGUAAAACUCUGUUGUUAGAGAAGAACAAGGACGUUAGUAACUGAACGUCCCCUGACGGUAUCUAACCAGAAAGCCACGGCUAACUACGUGCCAGCAGCCGCGGUAAUACGUAGGUGGCAAGCGUUGUCCGGAUUUAUUGGGCGUAAAGCGAGCGCAGGCGGUUUCUUAAGUCUGAUGUGAAAGCCCCCGGCUCAACCGGGGAGGGUCAUUGGAAACUGGGAGACUUGAGUGCAGAAGAGGAGAGUGGAAUUCCAUGUGUAGCGGUGAAAUGCGUAGAUAUAUGGAGGAACACCAGUGGCGAAGGCG